AGGACGAACGCUGGCGGCGUGCUUAACACAUGCAAGUGGAGCGACGAACCAGGGCUUGCCCUGGGGCAGAGCCGCGAACGGGUGAGUAACACGUGGGUUACCUGCCUUGAUGACUGGGACAACCCGAGGAAACUCGGGCUAAUACCGGAUGUGCCCGCAAGGGGAAAGGAAGCUUCGGCCUCCGCAUCAAGAUGGGCCCGCGGCCCAUUAGCUUGUUGGUGAGGUAACGGCUCACCAAGGCUUCGAUGGGUAGCUGGUCUGAGAGGACGAUCAGCCACACUGGGACUGAGACACGGCCCAGACUCCUACGGGAGGCAGCAGUGGGGAAUCUUGCGCAAUGCGCGAAAGCGUGACGCAGCAACGCCGCGUGGGGAAGACGGCUUUCGGGUUGUAAACCCCUUUCAGUUGGGACGAAGCUUCUCCGGUGAAUAGCCGGACGGAGUGACGGUACCUUCACAAGAAGCACCGGCUAACUCGUGCCAGCAGCCGC
RNAcentral lists this ribosomal RNA (490 nucleotides) under uncultured bacterium. RNAcentral describes it as "SSU rRNA". It matches the Rfam family "Bacterial small subunit ribosomal RNA", at positions 26 to 518 of the family's 1533-position model. The record is from RNAcentral.